AAAGAUUAAGCCAUGCAUGUCUAAGUAUAAGCAACUAUACGGUGAAACUGCGAGUGGCUCAUUAAAUCAGUUAUCGUUUAUUUGAUAGUACCUUACUACAUGGAUAACCGUGGUAAUUCUAGAGCUAAUAUAUGCUAAAAACCUCGACUUCGGAAGGGGUGUAUUUAUUAGAUAAAAAACCAAUGCCCUUCGGGGCUCCUUGGUGAAUCAUAAUAACUUAACGAAUCGCAUGGCCUUGCGCCGGCGAUGGUUCAUUCAAAUUUCUGCCCUAUCGACUUUCGAUGGUAGGAUAGUGGCCUACCAUGGUAUCAACGGGUAACGGGGAAU
Molecule: ribosomal RNA, 327 nt
Filed under: uncultured fungus
Lineage: Eukaryota; Fungi
Description: SSU rRNA
Rfam family: Eukaryotic small subunit ribosomal RNA
Source: RNAcentral